CUUCAAAUGGUUGCUGAACUAAUGGUUGUUAAGCGAGUAUUACCUGUAUAUUGCUGACAGCAAAAUAGUGCAAGAGAGAAAAAAGGUAGGGGUCAGGCAUUGAGAAGAAAAGAGAACAAAAUUCUGACUCAGAGAAUGGAGAAAAGGAAGCAGCAUCACGGAGCCAGUCCUGGCUCACAGCACUCUUCCAAGAUAGCCAAACAACCAAAAAUUGAUGAACUUUUUCUACAAAAAGAAACAAGUGAAGAAGAGGAAUCAUCUGACUGACAUCCUC
Molecule: non-coding RNA, 274 nt
Organism: Python bivittatus (Burmese python)
Lineage: Eukaryota; Metazoa; Chordata; Lepidosauria; Squamata; Pythonidae
Source: RefSeq, a predicted model, not a curated record